Molecule: ribosomal RNA, 440 nt
Filed under: uncultured bacterium
Lineage: Bacteria
Description: partial 16S ribosomal RNA
Rfam family: Bacterial small subunit ribosomal RNA
Source: RNAcentral
CCUACGGGAGGCAGCAGUGGGGAAUAUUGUACAAUGGGGGAAACCCUGAUGCAGCGACGCCGCGUGAGUGAAGAAGUAAUUCGUUAUGUAAAGCUCUAUCAGCAGGGAAGAAAAUGACGGUACCUGUCGAAUAAGCCACGGCUAACUACGUGCCAGUAGCCGCGGUAAUACGUAGGUGACAAGCGUUGUCCGGAUUUACUGGGUGUAAAGGGCGUGUAGCCGGGCUGACAAGUCAGAUGUGAAAUCCGGGGGCUCAACCCCCGAACUGCAUUUGAAACUGUUGGUCUUGAGUAUCGGAGAGGCAGGCGGAAUUCCUAGUGUAGCGGUGAAAUGCGUAGAUAUUAGGAGGAACACCGGUGGCGAAGGCGGCCUGCUGGACUGCGACUGACGUUGAGGCCCGAAAGCGUGGGGAGCAAACAGGAUUAGAUACCCGUGUAGUC